UACAGAGGGUGCAAGCGUUAUUCGGAAUCACUGGGCGUAAAGUGCACGUAGGUGGUUUGGUAAGUUAGAUGUGAAAUCCCUCGACUCAAUCGAGGACCUGCAUCUAAUACUGCUAGACUAGAGUAUAGGAGGGGAGAACGGAAUUUCUGGUGUAGAGGUGAAAUUCGCAGAUAUCAGAAGGAACAACAGUGGCGAAAGCGGUUCUCUGGACUAUAACUGACACUGAGGUGCGAAAGCGUGGGGAGCAAACAGG
RNAcentral lists this ribosomal RNA (253 nucleotides) under uncultured bacterium. RNAcentral describes it as "partial 16S ribosomal RNA". It matches the Rfam family "Bacterial small subunit ribosomal RNA", at positions 524 to 776 of the family's 1533-position model. The record is from RNAcentral.